This 253-nucleotide ribosomal RNA is filed under the name uncultured bacterium. RNAcentral's name for it is "partial 16S ribosomal RNA". It matches the Rfam family "Bacterial small subunit ribosomal RNA", at positions 524 to 776 of the family's 1533-position model. The record is from RNAcentral.
UACGUAGGGUGCAAGCGUUGUCCGGAAUUAUUGGGCGUAAAGAGCUCGUAGGCGGUCUGUCACGUCGGACGUGAAAAUCCAGGGCUCAACCCUGGACCUGCGUUCGAUACGGGCAGACUAGAGUUCGGUAGGGGAGACUGGAAUUCCUGGUGUAGCGGUGAAAUGCGCAGAUAUCAGGAGGAACACCGGUGGCGAAGGCGGUUCUCUGGGCCUGUACUGACGCUGAGGAACGAAAGCGUGGGGAGCGAACAGG